Molecule: long non-coding RNA, 139 nt
Organism: Amblyraja radiata (thorny skate)
Lineage: Eukaryota; Metazoa; Chordata; Chondrichthyes; Rajiformes; Rajidae
Exons: 3
Source: RefSeq, a predicted model, not a curated record
AAGAAUAGAAGAAAAAUAUAUUUGUCAUAUUUUCCCACGACAUAGAAAGAAGACAUUCAGCAUAAUUAGUUAUGAGUUCAGAGAUUAGUUUAGAGACACAGCAUUGAAACAGGCCCUUCGGCCCACCGACCAUCGAUCA